Molecule: ribosomal RNA, 465 nt
Filed under: Vreelandella stevensii
Lineage: Bacteria; Pseudomonadati; Pseudomonadota; Gammaproteobacteria; Oceanospirillales; Halomonadaceae
Description: partial 16S ribosomal RNA
Rfam family: Bacterial small subunit ribosomal RNA
Source: RNAcentral
CCUACGGGCGGCAGCAGUGGGGAAUAUUGGACAAUGGGCGAAAGCCUGAUCCAGCCAUGCCGCGUGUGUGAAGAAGGCCUUCGGGUUGUAAAGCACUUUCAGUGGGGAAGAAAGCCUUGGGGCUAAUACCCUCGAGGAAGGACAUCACCCACAGAAGAAGCACCGGCUAACUCCGUGCCAGCAGCCGCGGUAAUACGGAGGGUGCGAGCGUUAAUCGGAAUUACUGGGCGUAAAGGGCGCGUAGGCGGUCUGAUAAGCCGGUUGUGAAAGCCCCGGGCUCAACCUGGGAACGGCAUCCGGAACUGUCAGGCUAGAGUGCAGGAGAGGAAGGUAGAAUUCCCGGUGUAGCGGUGAAAUGCGUAGAGAUCGGGAGGAAUACCAGUGGCGAAGGCGGCCUUCUGGACUGACACUGACGCUGAGGUGCGAAAGCGUGGGUAGCAAACAGGAUUAGAUACCCGAGUAGUC